This 429-nucleotide ribosomal RNA is filed under the name Actinomycetes bacterium. Its description in RNAcentral is "Actinobacteria bacterium partial 16S ribosomal RNA". It matches the Rfam family "Bacterial small subunit ribosomal RNA", at positions 355 to 776 of the family's 1533-position model. The record is from RNAcentral. Lineage: Bacteria; Bacillati; Actinomycetota; Actinomycetes.
UAGGGAAUCUUCCGCUAUGGGCGAAAGCCUGACGGAGCAACGCCGCGUGAGUGAUGAUGGUCUUCGGAUCGUAAAACUCUGUUAUUAGGGAUGAACAAAUGUGUAAGUAACUAUGCACGUCUUGACGGUACCUAAUCAGAAAGCCACGGCUAACUACGUGCUAGCAGCCGCGGUAAUACGUAGGUGGCAAGCGUUAUCCGGAAUUAUUGGGCGUAAAGCGCGCGUAGGCGGUUUUUUAAGUCUGAUGUGAAAGCCCACGGCUCAACCGUGGAGGGUCAUUGGAAACUGGAAAACUUGAGUGCAGAAGUGGAAAGUGGAAUUCCAUGUAUAGCGGUGAAAUGCGCAGAGAUAUGGAGGAACACCAGUGGCGAAGGCGACUUUCUGGUCUGUAACUGACGCUGAUGUGCGAAAGCGUGGGGAUCAAACAGG